CCAGAACUCAGUCACUGCAGGUUAUAGCCUCCUAGUUUCCAGCCCACUGUGGGUGUUUUUGGUACCAGUGAUCGAACUCAGGACCUCAAGCUUGUGAGGGAGAUAUGGCACCACUGAGCUAAAUCCCUGUCCAAUGUUUUUUUUUUUUUUUUUUUUUUACAAGUAGGAAGAAUUUAUUGAGAGAAAGCUUGUCUAAGAGAGACAGAAGACUGACCAGAAAGUGGGUUGCCUGACCACUCUACUUCCCAGUGGUAUUUUAUUGAGCAAAGCCAUGAGGUGAGACUCUCAGAACUAUGGACACUUCCUUCCUAUUUCAGCUUUCUCACAGCUUCUGAACCUAGCCCUGUCUUCAGAACUGUUGAGUUUGAAGCAAUUUGUGUGGGAGUCGGAAGCUCCAGAGAUCCAUUCUUCUCCCCUUCCCUGCAGUGUCAACAGAAUGAUAGUGAAGGAUUAGCUGUGGGAUGAUGGUGGGGCUUGAUCUGAAACAGUGGCUUACGAGUGACGCACCCUACUGGAUGUGAGAAUGAUGGGAGACAAGAACACAAAUGAUGCUGGCCUGACAUCCCCCUGGCUUGUAAAAG
This 581-nucleotide long non-coding RNA is filed under the name Heterocephalus glaber (naked mole-rat). Its description in RNAcentral is "lncRNA (ENSHGLG00100038207.1)". Lineage: Eukaryota; Metazoa; Chordata; Mammalia; Rodentia; Bathyergidae. The record is from RNAcentral.